GCUCUAUUUAGGAGUGGCAUUGUACAUUUUAACUUCAACUCCUCAUUUAUAGUUUCAAAGAAUAUCAUCCAUCUUAAAUAAGAGAAAAAUAGUUCAAAAUCAAAACAGCACAAUCUACAUCAAAACAGAAAGGAAGAGAUGCAACAUAAAACCAAGAAAUGGCAUACAGAAAGUAACUGAAUCCAGGAAAUUUUAAAAAUGUUUACCCUCAGUUCAAAAGAAAACAAUCCAACAAGGCAACACCACAAUCCUCAUAAACGAGCAACAUUACAUUCAGCAUCAUCUCCAUAUGCACAAGGGAAGAAAUAAACAAUGCGCACAUUUCAGAGAUUGAAAAAUCUCUUUUCAAUUGACACAUCUACGGCAGCAGCCCUCAGUGCAGUGCACCAGCAACAUAAAUUAAUUUGUGACAAGUGAUCUCUCAGUCAAGCGGCACCUCAACUUCACCAUCAGUAAUCUCUUGUUGCAAAUCCUUGGGGUUCUUCCCAUCGACCGUACAUCCAACCGAGACGCAAGUCCCCAAAAUCUCCUUGACGGUUCCACUUAGAUCCUUCGCCAUCGAUCUUGGCCUCAUAACCUUGGCGAUCUCAAUCACAUCAUCAAGCGAGAUGUUCCCGCUGUGCUUGAUAUUCUUAGUCUUCUUCCUGUCUCUCUCUGGCUCCUUAAGUGCCUUGAUGACUAGAGCAGCCGCCGAUGGAACAACCGUCACCUUAGCCUGACGGUUCUGAACCGUAAGCUUGACAGUGACGCGAAGACCCUUCCAGUCCUUGGCGGUCUCCUUAGCGAUGUCUUCACCGAUCUUUUUAGGGGAGAGACCAAGCGGACCAAUUUUCGGUGCGAGUGAACUAGCCGCACCGACUUCUCCACCGGUGACUCGGACGAAGACAUCGACCACCUGGGAAGGGUCAAAUUUUGGCGGCAUUUCUAGUGCUCACAGAAUGAGACAACCCUAGGGUUUCAAGAAACCAUUAAAGGAUGAUAUGGAGUAAUAUAUUACAAUCCCAGUGCUGAGGGUUUUGCGGAAUGGAGAAUUUCAUGACAUAUUUGCC
RNAcentral lists this unclassified non-coding RNA (1049 nucleotides) under Hevea brasiliensis (rubber tree). The record is from RNAcentral. Lineage: Eukaryota; Viridiplantae; Streptophyta; Magnoliopsida; Malpighiales; Euphorbiaceae.